Molecule: ribosomal RNA, 253 nt
Filed under: uncultured bacterium
Lineage: Bacteria
Description: partial 16S ribosomal RNA
Rfam family: Bacterial small subunit ribosomal RNA
Source: RNAcentral
UACGUAGGGUGCGAGCGUUAAUCGGAAUUACUGGGCGUAAAGUGUGCGCAGGCGGCCGAGCAAGUCGAGUGUGAAAGCCCCGGGCUUAACUUGGGAAUUGCGCUCGAAACUACUUGGCUGGAGUGUGGCAGAGGAAGGUGGAAUUCCAGGUGUAGCGGUGAAAUGCGUAGAGAUCUGGAGGAAUACCGAUGGCGAAGGCAGCCUUCUGGGCCAACACUGACGCUCAUGCACGAAAGCGUGGGGAGCAAACAGG